GGAAAGAUGGCUGAGCGGUCGAAAGCGUCUGUCUACUAAACAGUUGUACAUUUAUUGUACCGUUGGUUCGAAUCCAACUCUUUCCGCCA
Molecule: transfer RNA, 89 nt
Filed under: Candidatus Onthocola stercoravium
Lineage: Bacteria; Bacillati; Bacillota; Bacilli
Description: tRNA-Ser
Rfam family: tRNA
About the family: Transfer RNA (tRNA) molecules are approximately 80 nucleotides in length.
Source: RNAcentral